Non-coding RNA from Parachaetomium inaequale, 84 nucleotides. The record is from the annotation of a GenBank genome assembly. Lineage: Eukaryota; Fungi; Ascomycota; Sordariomycetes; Sordariales; Chaetomiaceae.
GCCUGCUUAGCAUAGUGGCUAAUGCGUUGCACUUGUAUCCUCGACGACAUGCAAAGAUCACAGGUUCGAUUCCUGUAGUAGGCA